AACAAAGAGGGGUGGAAUUCUGAAGCAACCUUGAGAUCUUGGCUGCCCAUGUUAUCAUUGUCUCAAAGGCUACAAAACCUCUGGAAGAAGCCGUGAAAAAGCAAAGAAGACAUGCUGCAAGCAGUUAUGAAGCAAUCUGUCACAGAGAAUGAAAAAGUGCAGAACUGGAGGGAAAGGUAAAGAAGGAUCUGCCAGAAAAAAGCAGCAGACAGGAAGAAAAGCACAAAGCAGCUGAUAAGUAUCCUGGUGCGCCAAGCGGACUCUAUCCAGGCGCUCGUAGCCAUGCAGGCAGAGCACUACCACGCCUGCCUCCCCCAUCCCAAAGAUCUUUCCCUUGUGCCUCAAUGUCGGCUCAAAACCCUCUUCCCCAGCAUCCAGGUUCUUACCACCACCAGCUGCCCCCAACACCUGUAUGUUCACCAAUC
Non-coding RNA from Chelonoidis abingdonii (Abingdon island giant tortoise), 425 nucleotides. NCBI's taxonomy places the organism in Eukaryota, Metazoa, Chordata, Testudines, Testudinidae. The record is from RefSeq and is a predicted model, not a curated record.